RNAcentral lists this long non-coding RNA (307 nucleotides) under Homo sapiens (human). Its description in RNAcentral is "HSALNT0054627". The record is from RNAcentral. Lineage: Eukaryota; Metazoa; Chordata; Mammalia; Primates; Hominidae.
UUUUCGUGCCUUCUGGUCAGAGGUUAGCGGAAAGCUCAAAUCCUCGGGGUUCCAGAGGCCGUCCCUCAAGCACCACCGCUCCCCCAGUCAGGGAUGGGGGCAAGGUGUCUCAGAGCCGACCAGCCUCGGGCGGAGUCGGGGGGUUAAGCCCCAAGGAGGGGCACCCCGCCAGGCAAAAGAAUGGACCAGAUAGACGGCAGGGUCCAGCCUCAAGCUGCCACCCUGGCUCCGUAGGGAAAGCACUGCAGGUCCUACGCAAGCGCGCCGCCUGCGUCUAGCCGCUUUGUUCUAGCGCUACCUGCGGGUC